GACGAACCGUCCAACCGUUAUUCGGAAUCACUGGGCUUACAGAGUUCGUAGGCGGUCUGGAAAGUUGGGUGUGAAAUCCCUCGGCUCAACCGAGGAACUGCGCUUGAAACUACCAGACUCGAGGGAGAUAGAGGAAAGCGGAACUGAUGGUGGAGCGGUGAAAUGCGUUGAUAUCUGGAGGAAUACCGGUGGCGAAGGCGGCAUCCUGGACCGAGAUUGACACUGAUGAGCGAAAGCCAGGGGAGCAAACGGG
RNAcentral lists this ribosomal RNA (253 nucleotides) under uncultured bacterium. Its description in RNAcentral is "partial 16S ribosomal RNA". It matches the Rfam family "Bacterial small subunit ribosomal RNA", at positions 524 to 776 of the family's 1533-position model. The record is from RNAcentral.